This 191-nucleotide small RNA is filed under the name Arabidopsis thaliana (thale cress). RNAcentral describes it as "ATSL288410". The record is from RNAcentral. Lineage: Eukaryota; Viridiplantae; Streptophyta; Magnoliopsida; Brassicales; Brassicaceae.
AAAACUAAUUAUUUUGAAAAAACGAUUUAAUGCUAAUGGCAUUGGGUUGUAAAUAAGUCCAACUCGAAGAUUUAUUUGUUAAAAUGGCUGCAAAAAUAUAUAUAUAGAUGAUCUAACAGAUUUUAACAUUGGAUGGAUUACUUUAAGAUGGUUUGAUUUGAUUGCUGAAUUACAUUGGAAUAUGUCACAAU